CCUACGGGAGGCAGCAGUGGGGAAUAUUGGACAAUGGGCGCAAGCCUGAUCCAGCCAUGCCGCGUGUGUGAAGAAGGCCUUCGGGUUGUAAAGCACUUUUAUCCGGAAAGAAAAGCUUUGGGUUAAUACCCUGAAGUCAUGACGGUACCGGAAGAAUAAGCACCGGCUAACUUCGUACCAGCAGCCGCGGUAAUACGAAGGGUGCAAGCGUUACUCGGAAUUACUGGGCGUAAAGCGUGCGUAGGUGGUUUGUUAAGUCUGAUGUGAAAGCCCUAGGCUCAACCUGGGAAUUGCAUUGGAUACUGGCAGGCUAGAGUGCGGUAGAGGAUAGUGGAAUUCCCGGUGUAGCAGUGAAAUGCGUAGAGAUCGGGAGGAACAUCUGUGGCGAAGGCGACUAUCUGGGCCAGCACUGACACUGAGGCACGAAAGCGUGGGGAGCAAACAGGAUUAGAUACCCUGGUAGUCCACGCCCUAAACGAUGCGAACUGGAUGUUGGGUGCAACUAGGCACUCAGUAUCGAAGCUAACGCGUUAAGUUCGCCGCCUGGGGAGUACGGUCGCAAGACNGAAACUCAAAGGAUUGACGGCGNGAGAGAGACGACGACGACGACGAGGGAGGAGG
Molecule: ribosomal RNA, 621 nt
Filed under: uncultured bacterium
Lineage: Bacteria
Description: bacterial SSU rRNA
Rfam family: Bacterial small subunit ribosomal RNA
Source: RNAcentral